RNAcentral lists this transfer RNA (76 nucleotides) under Pseudomonas simiae. Its description in RNAcentral is "tRNA-Asn (GTT) (tRNA-Asn-GTT-2-1)". It matches the Rfam family "tRNA". From Rfam's summary of the family: Transfer RNA (tRNA) molecules are approximately 80 nucleotides in length. Lineage: Bacteria; Pseudomonadati; Pseudomonadota; Gammaproteobacteria; Pseudomonadales; Pseudomonadaceae. The record is from RNAcentral.
UCCGCGAUAGCUCAGUUGGUAGAGCAAAUGACUGUUAAUCAUUGGGUCCCUGGUUCUAGUCCAGGUCGUGGAGCCA